RNAcentral lists this ribosomal RNA (253 nucleotides) under uncultured bacterium. Its description in RNAcentral is "partial 16S ribosomal RNA". It matches the Rfam family "Bacterial small subunit ribosomal RNA", at positions 524 to 776 of the family's 1533-position model. The record is from RNAcentral.
GACGUAGGGCGCGAGCGUUGUCCGGAAUUACUGGGCGUAAAGGGCCAGUAGGCGGCCAACUAAGUCACACGUGAAAUCCCCAGGCUUAACCUGGGAACUGCGUGUGAUACUGGAUGGCUUGAAUUCGGGAGAGGGAUGCAGAAUUCCAGGUGUAGCGGUGAAAUGCGUAGAUAUCUGGAGGAAUACCGGUGGCGAAGGCGGCAUCCUGGACCGACAUUGACGCUGAACGGCGAAAGCUAGGGGAGCAAACGGG